Molecule: ribosomal RNA, 301 nt
Filed under: uncultured bacterium
Lineage: Bacteria
Description: partial 16S ribosomal RNA
Rfam family: Bacterial small subunit ribosomal RNA
Source: RNAcentral
CAGCAGCCGCGGUAAAACGGAGGGGGCUAGCGUUGUUCGGAAUUACUGGGCGUAAAGCGCACGUAGGCGGCUUUGUAAGUUAGAGGUGAAAUCCCGGGGCUCAACCCCGGAACUGCCUUUGAUACUGGGAGUCUUGAGUUCGAGAGAGGUGAGUGGAAUUGCGAGUGUAGAGGUGAAAUUCGUAGAUAUUCGCAGGAACACCAGUGGCGAAGGCGGCUCACUGGCUCGAUACUGACGCUGAGGUGCGAAAGCGUGGGAAGCAAACAGGAUUAGAUACCCGGGUAGUCCCUGUCUCUUAUAC